This 420-nucleotide ribosomal RNA is filed under the name uncultured bacterium. RNAcentral's name for it is "bacterial SSU rRNA". It matches the Rfam family "Bacterial small subunit ribosomal RNA", at positions 356 to 773 of the family's 1533-position model. The record is from RNAcentral.
GAGGAAUAUUGGACAAUGGGUGGAAGCCUGAUCCAGCCAUCCCGCGUGUAGGAUGACGGCCUUAUGGGUUGUAAACUACUUUUAUCUGGGGAUAAACCUACUUACGUGUAAGUAGCUGAAGGUACCAGAAGAAUAAGCACCGGCUAACUCCGUGCCAGCAGCCGCGGUAAUACGGAGGGUGCAAGCGUUAUCCGGAUUUAUUGGGUUUAAAGGGUCCGUAGGCGGAUUAAUCAGUCAGUGGUGAAAUCUCAUAGCUUAACUAUGAAACUGCCAUUGAUACUGUUAGUCUUGAGUGAUGUUGAAGUUGCUGGAAUGUGUAGUGUAGCGGUGAAAUGCUUAGAUAUUACGCAGAACACCAAUUGCGAAGGCAGGUGACUAAACAUCAACUGACGCUGAUGGACGAAAGCGUGGGGAGCGAAC